AUCCAACUGACGAGUCUCAAAUAGGACGGACCACACGUCCUGGAU
Molecule: non-coding RNA, 45 nt
Organism: Schistosoma haematobium
Lineage: Eukaryota; Metazoa; Platyhelminthes; Trematoda; Strigeidida; Schistosomatidae
Source: Rfam